GUAUUGAAGUACUUGGUGGGGAAUCAAUGUGCAAUUCAUUGGCUGUACCUGCAACCGUAAAGUCGGAGUGCCACCCAAUAUAGCCCGCUGAGAAUGAUGGCCAGGAAAAGCCUAGUUCUACAAUGAAAAA
This 130-nucleotide non-coding RNA is filed under the name unclassified sequences. The record is from RNAcentral.